Non-coding RNA from Pogona vitticeps (central bearded dragon), 367 nucleotides. The record is from RefSeq and is a predicted model, not a curated record. Lineage: Eukaryota; Metazoa; Chordata; Lepidosauria; Squamata; Agamidae.
GCCUUCCCACCCACCCUCGUUCGAUUCUGUGGGAUCUCUUUAGGCAGCUGAGGAAGACCAGUAGCAGCCUACCCAAAGCCUCCUAGUCAAGAACAGAAGUUUAACUCAAGAUCACAAGGCAGAAAAUUAUCAAAGGAGCUAAACAUAUUUGCAAGGAUUUGAACAAUAUACAACCAGCUGCCUUUUAAAACUGCAAAUAUUUGUAUGCACUGACCACAUGGAGAUAAAACUGAUGAAGAUGUUCUGCACACAGGCUUUGCCACUUUCAUGAAACAAGUUUGCGACAGAGGUGUGACGGUGGAGGAAGCUGGUGGAAUUUAAUGCUGUAUCAGUUUCUUAUGAUGGAGAGCACUCAGGCAUCUGUAGU